This 226-nucleotide ribosomal RNA is filed under the name uncultured bacterium. RNAcentral describes it as "partial 16S ribosomal RNA". It matches the Rfam family "Bacterial small subunit ribosomal RNA", at positions 15 to 231 of the family's 1533-position model. The record is from RNAcentral.
GAUCAUGGCUCAGGAUGAACGCUAGCUACAGGCUUAACACAUGCAAGUCGGGGGGGCAGCAUGGUCUUAGCUUGCUAAGGCCGAUGGCGACCGGCGCACGGGUGAGUAACACGUAUCCAACCUGCCGUCUACUCUUGGACAGCCUUCUGAAAGGAAGAUUAAUACAAGAUGGCAUCAUGAGUUCACAUGUCCACAUGAUUAAAGGUAUUCCGGUAGACGAUGGGGA